CCUACGGGAGGCAGCAGUGAGGAAUAUUGGUCAAUGGGCGGAAGCCUGAACCAGCCAAGUAGCGUGCGGGAUGAAGGCCCUACGGGUCGUAAACCGCUUUUGCACGGGGAUAACACCCGCCACGUGUGGAGGUCUGCAGGUACCGUGCGAAUAAGGGCCGGCUAAUUCCGUGCCAGCAGCCGCGGUAAUACGGAAGGCCCGAGCGUUAUCCGGAUUCAUUGGGUUUAAAGGGUGCGCAGGCGGCGAGUUAAGUCAGCGGUAAAAUUCCGGGGCUCAACCCCGCCAAGCCGUUGAAACUGGCUUGCUAGAGUGGGCGGGAAGUAUGCGGAAGGCGUGGUGUAGCGGUGAAAUGCAUAGAUAUCACGCAGAACUCCGAUUGCGAAGGCAGCAUACCGGCGCCCAACUGACGCUCAGGCACGAAGGCGUGGGUAUCGAACAGGAUUAGAUACCCGAGUAGUC
This 459-nucleotide ribosomal RNA is filed under the name uncultured bacterium. Its description in RNAcentral is "partial 16S ribosomal RNA". It matches the Rfam family "Bacterial small subunit ribosomal RNA", at positions 338 to 795 of the family's 1533-position model. The record is from RNAcentral.